This 349-nucleotide ribosomal RNA is filed under the name uncultured bacterium. Its description in RNAcentral is "bacterial SSU rRNA". It matches the Rfam family "Bacterial small subunit ribosomal RNA", at positions 73 to 422 of the family's 1533-position model. The record is from RNAcentral.
GCCGGUUUCGGCCGGCGAGUAGAGUGGCGCACGGGUGAGUAACACGUAGACAACCUGCCUUCGAGCCCGGAAUAACCUUUCGAAAGAAGGGCUAAUACCGGAUAACACACGGGAUCGCAUGAUUUUGUGUUGAAAGGCUUGCUACUCGAAGAGGGGUCUGCGGGACAUUAGCUAGUUGGCGAGGUAACGGCUCACCAAGGCGAUGAUGUCUAGCGGGUCUGAGAGGAUGAUCCGCCACACUGGAACUGAGACACGGUCCAGACUCCUACGGGAGGCAGCAGUGGGGAAUUUUGCGCAAUGGGCGAAAGCCUGACGCAGCAACGCCGCGUGAGUGAAGAAGGCCUUUGGG